AGGACACUCUAUACGGAGUUACAAAGGACGACAUUAGACGAAUCAUCUGGAAAGAUGAAUCAAAGAAGGUAAUAAUCCUGUAGUCGAAAAUGUUGUCUCUCUUGAGUGGAUCCUGAGUACGACGGAGCACGUGAAAUUCCGUCGGAAUCUGGGAGGACCAUCUCCUAAGGCUAAAUACUCUCUAGUGACCGAUAGUGAACCAGUACCGUGAGGGAAAGGUGAAAAGCACCCCGGAAGGGGAGUGAAAUAGAACCUGAAACCGUGUGCUUACAAGUAGUCAGAGCCCGUUAAUGGGUGAUGGCGUGCCUUUUGUAGAAUGAACCGGCGAGUUACGAUUUGAUGCAAGGUUAAGCAGUAAAUGUGGAGCCGUAGCGAAAGCGAGUCUGAAUAGGGCGUUUAGUAUUUGGUCGUAGACCCGAAACCAGGUGAUCUACCCUUGGUCAGGUUGAAGUUCAGGUAACACUGAAUGGAGGACCGAACCGACUUACGUUGAAAAGUGAGCGGAUGAACUGAGGGUAGCGGAGAAAUUCCAAUCGAACCUGGAGAUAGCUGGUUCUCUCCGAAAUAGCUUUAGGGCUAGCCUCAAGUGAUGAUUAUUGGAGGUAGAGCACUGUUUGGACGAGGGGCCCCUCUCGGGUUACCGAAUUCAGACAAACUCCGAAUGCCAAUUAAUUUAACUUGGGAGUCAGAACAUGGGUGAUAAGGUCCGUGUUCGAAAGGGAAACAGCCCAGACCACCAGCUAAGGUCCCAAAAUAUAUGUUAAGUGGAAAAGGAUGUGGCGUUGCCCAGACAACUAGGAUGUUGGCUUAGAAGCAGCCAUCAUUUAAAGAGUGCGUAAUAGCUCACUAGUCGAGUGACACUGCGCCGAAAAUGUACCGGGGCUAAACAUAUUACCGAAGCUGUGGAUUGUCCUUUGGACAAUGGUAGGAGAGCGUUCUAAGGGCGUUGAAGCAUGAUCGUAAGGACAUGUGGAGCGCUUAGAAGUGAGAAUGCCGGUGUGAGUAGCGAAAGACGGGUGAGAAUCCCGUCCACCGAUUGACUAAGGUUUCCAGAGGAAGGCUCGUCCGCUCUGGGUUAGUCGGGUCCUAAGCUGAGGCCGACAGGCGUAGGCGAUGGAUAACAGGUUGAUAUUCCUGUACCACCUAUAAUCGUUUUAAUCGAUGGGGGGACGCAGUAGGAUAGGCGAAGCGUGCGAUUGGAUUGCACGUCUAAGCAGUAAGGCUGAGUAUUAGGCAAAUCCGGUACUCGUUAAGGCUGAGCUGUGAUGGGGAGAAGACAUUGUGUCUUCGAGUCGUUGAUUUCACACUGCCGAGAAAAGCCUCUAGAUAGAAAAUAGGUGCCCGUACCGCAAACCGACACAGGUAGUCAAGAUGAGAAUUCUAAGGUGAGCGAGCGAACUCUCGUUAAGGAACUCGGCAAAAUGACCCCGUAACUUCGGGAGAAGGGGUGCUCUUUAGGGUUAACGCCCAGAAGAGCCGCAGUGAAUAGGCCCAAGCGACUGUUUAUCAAAAACACAGGUCUCUGCUAAACCGUAAGGUGAUGUAUAGGGGCUGACGCCUGCCCGGUGCUGGAAGGUUAAGAGGAGUGGUUAGCUUCUGCGAAGCUACGAAUCGAAGCCCCAGUAAACGGCGGCCGUAACUAUAACGGUCCUAAGGUAGCGAAAUUCCUUGUCGGGUAAGUUCCGACCCGCACGAAAGGCGUAACGAUUUGGGCACUGUCUCAACGAGAGACUCGGUGAAAUCAUAGUACCUGUGAAGAUGUAGGUUACCCGCGACAGGACGGAAAGACCCCGUGGAGCUUUACUGUAGCCUGAUAUUGAAAUUCGGCACAGCUUGUACAGGAUAGGUAGGAGCCUUUGAAACGUGAGCGCUAGCUUACGUGGAGGCGCUGGUGGGAUACUACCCUAGCUGUGUUGGCUUUCUAACCCGCACCACUUAUCGUGGUGGGAGACAGUGUCAGGCGGGCAGUUUGACUGGGGCGGUCGCCUCCUAAAAGGUAACGGAGGCGCUCAAAGGUUCCCUCAGAAUGGUUGGAAAUCAUUCAUAGAGUGUAAAGGCAUAAGGGAGCUUGACUGCGAGACCUACAAGUCGAGCAGGGUCGAAAGACGGACUUAGUGAUCCGGUGGUUCCGCAUGGAAGGGCCAUCGCUCAACGGAUAAAAGCUACCCCGGGGAUAACAGGCUUAUCUCCCCCAAGAGUUCACAUCGACGGGGAGGUUUGGCACCUCGAUGUCGGCUCAUCGCAUCCUGGGGCUGUAGUCGGUCCCAAGGGUUGGGCUGUUCGCCCAUUAAAGCGGUACGCGAGCUGGGUUCAGAACGUCGUGAGACAGUUCGGUCCCUAUCCGUCGUGGGCGUAGGAAAUUUGAGAGGAGCUGUCCUUAGUACGAGAGGACCGGGAUGGACAUACCUCUGGUGUACCAGUUGUCGUGCCAACGGCAUAGCUGGGUAGCUAUGUGUGGACGGGAUAAGUGCUGAAAGCAUCUAAGCAUGAAGCCCCCCUCAAGAUGAGAUUUCCCAACUUCGGUUAUAAGAUCCCUCAAAGAUGAUGAGGUUAAUAGGUUCGAGGUGGAAGCAUGGUGACAUGUGGAGCUGACGAAUACUAAUCGAUCGAAGACUUAAUCAA
Molecule: ribosomal RNA, 2622 nt
Filed under: Staphylococcus aureus M1098
Lineage: Bacteria; Bacillati; Bacillota; Bacilli; Caryophanales; Staphylococcaceae
Description: bacterial LSU rRNA
Rfam family: Bacterial large subunit ribosomal RNA
Source: RNAcentral